AUCCGGAUGAUGAGUCCCAAAUAGGAUGAAAUGCGUGUUGUCCUGGAU
RNAcentral lists this non-coding RNA (48 nucleotides) under Trichobilharzia regenti. Lineage: Eukaryota; Metazoa; Platyhelminthes; Trematoda; Strigeidida; Schistosomatidae. The record is from RNAcentral.